Molecule: ribosomal RNA, 805 nt
Filed under: Pestalotiopsis yanglingensis
Lineage: Eukaryota; Fungi; Ascomycota; Sordariomycetes; Amphisphaeriales; Sporocadaceae
Description: eukaryotic LSU rRNA
Rfam family: Eukaryotic large subunit ribosomal RNA
Source: RNAcentral
ACGGCGAGUGAAGCGGCAACAGCUCAAAUUUGAAAUCUGGCCCUCGGGUCCGAAUUGUAAUUUGUAGAGGAUGAUUUUGGUGCGGUAUCUUCCGAGUUCCUUGGAACAGGACGCCUUAGAGGGUGAGAGCCCCGUACGGUUGAAUGCCUAGCCUCUGUAAAUCUCCUUCGACGAGUCGAGUAGUUUGGGAAUGCUGCUCUAAAUGGGAGGUAAAUUUCUUCUAAAGCUAAAUAUUGGCCAGAGACCGAUAGCGCACAAGUAGAGUGAUCGAAAGAUGAAAAGCACUUUGAAAAGAGGGUUAAAUAGCACGUGAAAUUGUUGAAAGGGAAGGAUUUGUGACCAGACUUUUUCUGGGCGGAUCAUCCGGGGUUCUCUCCGGUGCACUUUGCCCAGUAAAGGCCAGCAUCGAUUUUCGGCGGCGGAUAAAAGCAGUGGGAAUGUGGCUCCUUACGGGGAGUGUUAUAGCCCAUUGUAUAAUACGCUGCUGGGGAUCGAGGUACGCGCUUCUGCAAGGAUGCUGGCGUAAUGGUUAUCAAUCACCCGUCUUGAAACACGGACCAAGGAGUCGAACAUUUAUGCGAGUGUUUGGGUGUUAAACCCUCACGCGUAAUGAAAGUGAACGGAGGUGAGAGCCUGUAUGGGUGCAUCAUCGACCGAUCCUGAAGUUUUCGGAUGGAUUUGAGUAAGAGCAUAACUGUUCGGACCCGAAAGAUGGUGAACUAUGCGUGGAUAGGGUGAAGCCAGAGGAAACUCUGGUGGAGGCUCGCAGCGGUUCUGACGUGCAAUCGAUCGUCAAUCUGCGCAU